UGCAGUCGANGCGAAAGUAGCCUUCGGGCUGCAAGUAGAGUGGCAAACGGGUGAGUAACGCGUGGGUGACCUAUCUUCGAGUGGGGGAUAACGUUUCGAAAGGAACGCUAAUACCGCAUAACAUCCCGCCUUUGGAAAGGUGGUGAUCAAAGCCGGGGAUCGCAAGACCUGGCGCUUGAUGAGGGGCCCGCGUCCGAUUAGCUUGUUGGUGGGGUAACGGCUCACCAAGGCGACAAUCGGUAGCCGGCCUGAGAGGGCGGACGGCCACACUGGGACUGAGACACGGCCCAGACUCCUACGGGAGGCAGCAGUGGGGAAUUGUUCGCAAUGGGCGAAAGCCUGACGACGCAACGCCGCGUGGAGGACGAAAACCUUCGGGUCGUAAACUCCUGUCGAGUGGGACGAAUACUACCUGGGUUAAUACCUCAGGUGGCUGACGGUACCACUAAAGGAAGCCCCGGCUAACUCCGUGCCAGCAGCCGCGGUAAUACGGGGGGGGCAAGCGUUGUUCGGAUUUACUGGGCGUAAAGAGCUCGUAGGCGGCUUGCUUAGUCGAACGUGAAAUCCCUUGGCUCAACUGAGGAACUGCGUCCGAUACUGGCAGGCUUGAAUCCGGGAGAGGGAUGCGGAAUUCCAGGUGUAGCGGUGAAAUGCGUAGAUAUCUGGAGGAACACCGGUGGCGAAGGCGGCAUCCUGGACCGGUAUUGACGCUGAGGAGCGAAAGCCAGGGUAGCAAACGGGAUUAGAUACCCCGGUAGUCCUGGCCCUAAACGAUGAAUGCUUGGUGUGGCGGGUAUCGNUCCCUGCUGUG
RNAcentral lists this ribosomal RNA (811 nucleotides) under uncultured Terriglobales bacterium. RNAcentral describes it as "SSU rRNA". It matches the Rfam family "Bacterial small subunit ribosomal RNA", at positions 56 to 845 of the family's 1533-position model. The record is from RNAcentral. Lineage: Bacteria; Pseudomonadati; Acidobacteriota; Terriglobia; Terriglobales.